CCUACGGGUGGCAGCAGUGAGGAAUAUUGGUCAAUGGACGCAAGUCUGAACCAGCCAUGCCGCGUGCAGGAAGACGGCUCUAUGAGUUGUAAACUGCUUUUGUACGAGGGUAAACGCAGAUACGCGUAUCUGUCUGAAAGUAUCGUACGCAUAAGGCUCGGCUAACUACGUGCCAGCAGCCUCGGCAAUACGGAGGAUUCAAGCGUUAUCCGGAUUUAUUUGGUUUAAAGGGUGAGUAGGCGGCCGGGUAAGUUCGAUGUGAAAGCCCUGGGCUCAACUUCGGAAUUGCCUCUGAUACUGUUCGGAUAGAGAGUAGUGGCGGUAGGCGGAAUGUAUGGUGUAGCGGUGAAAUGCUUAGAGAUCAUACAGAACACCGAUUGCGAAGGCAGCUUACCAGGCUACUUCUGACGUUGAGGCACGAAAGCGUGGGGAGCAAACAGGAUUAGAUACCCCGGUAGUC
This 460-nucleotide ribosomal RNA is filed under the name uncultured bacterium. RNAcentral describes it as "partial 16S ribosomal RNA". It matches the Rfam family "Bacterial small subunit ribosomal RNA", at positions 338 to 795 of the family's 1533-position model. The record is from RNAcentral.